UACGAAGGGGGCGAGCGUUGUUCGGAUUUACUGGGCGUAAAGGGCGCGCAGGCGGCUUUGUUUGUCAGAUGUGAAAGCCCCGGGCUCAACCUGGGAAUGGCAUUUGAUACUCUGAGGCUGGAGUACGGGAGAGGAGAGUGGAAUUCCCAGUGUAGAGGUGAAAUUCGUAGAUAUUGGGAAGAACACCGGUGGCGAAGGCGGCUCUCUGGACCGUAACUGACGCUGAGGCGCGAAAGCGUGGGGAGCAAACAGG
This 253-nucleotide ribosomal RNA is filed under the name uncultured bacterium. RNAcentral's name for it is "partial 16S ribosomal RNA". It matches the Rfam family "Bacterial small subunit ribosomal RNA", at positions 524 to 776 of the family's 1533-position model. The record is from RNAcentral.